GUGCAGUCUUCCAUUUCCACCACAUUUACCAUAAGGUACAUGCUUUGAGACCUCGCAGUGCAAGACAUCAACCGUAUAGCCUGAUAGAAAAAAUUAGAAGAAUUCGGCUAUCAACUAGAUCGUUUGAAUUUAAUAUUCAGCUGAAGUGCUCAAUUAUCCGGCUGUGCCGAGAAAAAUGCAUCUCAUAAAUCUACCCACGUAUUCCGACGCUUUCUUUACUAUGGUGACGAUAUUCUCAGCGUUAGCGAGAGUGUUUAUUUGACCGUCUCUGCCCGUACGUGUUGGGUAGUAUUCGGCCACUGCACCUAUGUAGGAAGUUGCAUCUGCUGCCGAAAUCUGGGUCUACAUACCUGCAGGAAUGUGAAUCGGGUCCAAAUCGCUAGUCCGAAGAUAAUGAUCGACAAUUUGGUGGCUGCCAUGGUUGCAGGUGGCCUAAAAAUGUGUAAUCCGCUUACUGUUCCUCAUAAAUAGUAUUAGACC
Molecule: long non-coding RNA, 480 nt
Organism: Athalia rosae (coleseed sawfly)
Lineage: Eukaryota; Metazoa; Arthropoda; Insecta; Hymenoptera; Athaliidae
Exons: 3
Source: RefSeq, a predicted model, not a curated record